Molecule: long non-coding RNA, 184 nt
Organism: Empidonax traillii (willow flycatcher)
Lineage: Eukaryota; Metazoa; Chordata; Aves; Passeriformes; Tyrannidae
Exons: 3
Source: RefSeq, a predicted model, not a curated record
ACUUACGGGAGCACUGAAACACGAGGGAAGAGGAAGGCCUUUUCUGAUAUAUGGAUGUUGACUGAACAUGGCAAAGCAGCCUUGGACUCCACUGGAAAGCCUUUGAAGGAAAUACUUUUCCAGCCAGCAGCACCACACACUUACCUGCUGUGUUGGAGCCAGACCGCCGCCUCACAUCACAAAG